AUGCACGCUGGCGGCGUGCCUAAUACAUGCAAGUCGAGCGAACAGACGAGGAGCUUGCUCCUUUGAUGUUAGCGGCGGACGGGUGAGUAACACGUAGGUAACCUACCUAUAAGACUGGGAUAACUUCGGGAAACCGGAGCUAAUACCGGAUAAUAUUUCGAACCGCAUGGUUCGAUAGUGAAAGAUGGCUUUGCUAUCACUUAUAGAUGGACCUGCGCCGUAUUAGCUAGUUGGUAAGGUAACGGCUUACCAAGGCAACGAUACGUAGCCGACCUGAGAGGGUGAUCGGCCACACUGGAACUGAGACACGGUCCAGACUCCUACGGGAGGCAGCAGUAGGGAAUCUUCCGCAAUGGGCGAAAGCCUGACGGAGCAACGCCGCGUGAGUGAUGAAGGUCUUCGGAUCGUAAAACUCUGUUAUUAGGGAAGAACAAACGUGUAAGUAACUGUGCACGUCUUGACGGUACCUAAUCAGAAAGCCACGGCUAACUACGUG
RNAcentral lists this ribosomal RNA (496 nucleotides) under uncultured bacterium. Its description in RNAcentral is "partial 16S ribosomal RNA". It matches the Rfam family "Bacterial small subunit ribosomal RNA", at positions 29 to 507 of the family's 1533-position model. The record is from RNAcentral.